AGAUGAGGGUGGUUGAUCUCAUACCACUUAUGUAGUGACACUAAUACAAGGAUAUGGGUGCUUAUUAGAGAAUGAGUUCAUUGAAUAGAUUUAUGAGAGAACAUCUGAUGGAGUCUUAUUUACAUGUCAGCUGAUAAUUCUCUAGUAGGAGUUGUGUAAGUGAUCCUUUGAUCUGAGAUCGUCAUGGUACCUUGUGUACAUGAAUCUAUAUUUUGGUUCACUUCCUAACUUGAUUCUUUGAUCCUUGUAUGGGAUGUUCUGGAUGUGGUGAAGUAUGCAUGGAGGUUGUGAGUGAUCAAUAAGGGAUCAAUCACUCCUAAUAAGGGGAGCGAACAUCCUAUAUGAUCUAAUAGAUCGAUGAUUCUGAAAGUCUUUAGCCAA
This 381-nucleotide long non-coding RNA is filed under the name Elaeis guineensis (African oil palm). RNAcentral's name for it is "long non-coding RNA (EGUI_LNC063192)". Lineage: Eukaryota; Viridiplantae; Streptophyta; Magnoliopsida; Arecales; Arecaceae. The record is from RNAcentral.